GCCUGUGGAGAGUCCCCUGCAGCCCUGUCCUUCCUCCUCAGCGCGCCCUGGCCUCACCCUUGCCCCAGGCAUUUCUUUGGGCAUGAGGAGAGCUCGACACACCCUGAAGGUUCAACCAGGUCCUCAGCCUUUCCUGGUGGCACCAUCUUUACCCCAGGGAACUCAAUUUUCUGUACCCCCACCCCGCCCCCCAGCCCUAGCUGAGCCUUCCUGCCUCUCCUCCCUGCCUGGGACUGCGCUAUGCACUCCUGGCUCUCACCCCCUGUGCCUCUGUUCCUCCGCCUGGCACUGCUGUCCCCAUUUUGGCUCCAUCCUGGCUCCUGCCCCUCACCAGGCCUCUGCCCGGACCAUCCGCUCCCCAGGAAGCUUCAGCCCUGGGGUGCCUAUGCCCACAAGCCCACCCCAGCCCUGACACCUCCCAGCCGAGCCAAGAACCUGGGUCCGGGCUCCCUCCUCAACCCUCAAAAGUUCUGCCCAUCUUACCUGCCCUGAGAAUUUACAGUACCUGCCCUACUUCCACCACUGUCACCCCACUCUUUCCAAAUGCAUCUACCAUCCUGUUCUGUGCCCUGUAUAUUCAUUUUCCACAUAAUUUAAAAUGCAGGUCUGGCCAGGCCCCCUCCACACGGACAACCUGGGUCCUGCUCUCCCCAGACCCCAGCCACCUGCGACCCCUCCUGCCUCACGCUACCUGUGGCCACUCAGCCUUUGCUCCUGCUGCUGUCCCGACUGAGACGUCCUUCUAACCACCUUGCCCACCCUCUCUCACCCCUCAGCACCUGCCCUGGCUUCACGCUGCCGCCUCCCAGCCACCUGGUACCCUCCACAGCGCCGCCCCUGCCGCUUCUGCCCAGAUCUGUUCUGUGCCCAGCCCGUAUUAUUGGCUUGAUCUACUUGCAGGUCUGUCCUCACCAACUCGAACACCCCCGAGGGCAGGAACGGUUUACCUCAGCAUAGAGCACAGUUCCAGGGCCCCAGGAGGAGCUCAGAGGACCUGUGGGAAAUGUGGUUCCUAUGGGCAAUGACUCCCUGAAUGCAACGUCACGUGUCACCUUGGAGGGAAAGACCCGAUAAAAACCUUAAUCAUAUUCAAGGGAAAGGAGCUUGGCUUUUCCUGGGCACAGCCUAACGGUGUUGGUGACCGGGGUAGGAAGGGGACUCGGCUUCUAUUGCACCAUGUCCUCGUCGAUUCUUCUUCAUUCUGUGAGCCCAAGGGGGCAGGGACCAAGGUCACGUAUCCCAGCAGAGCCUGCGCACAGGAGGUGCCUAGGUCGUGUUGGUUGGCUGAAAGCCCUGUCACCCAGCAAGAGGCAGGCAGUGAUGAGGGGACCUCAGAGGGGUGCUCUGGACUGUUACCUCAGAAGAGGAACUAUGCAGAGUGGGGCGGGCUGGCUGGGGAUGCAGCCGAGGGAGGAGGCUGACCUCCCAUGGCCACCCCGCACCUCCACGUGCACCAGGGCUUGCCCCCGGCUCAGGGCACUGGACUGCUGUUUAGAUGCAAAGAAAGAGUCCUGGGCUGGGAGUCUGGAGGUUCCAGUCUCUGUUUUCAGCAGUGUGUUUUAGUCAAGGCACUUUUACUCUCUCUGGACUUCUGUCUCCUCAAAUGCAAAAUGAAGAGCUGGACCGGAAACUUGUUCCAUCCAGUUCCAAUAUCUCCUCUUUUGCACGAAGGACGUGGGCUUGGAGUCAGAGGAACUGGGUUCAAGAGCUGGGGCUCCAUUUACCAGCUGUAAGUCCUUGGCCAGGUUACUUAAUCUCCCAAAGCUGCAAUUUUCUCACCUGUAGAGCGGGACUGACAACCAUUAGCUACCUCUCAGAUUCUUGGGAUUAGAUAUGCUUUCGGGUGAAAACGCUCCAUACACUUUAAGGCACUAUGUGACUGCUGGUUAUUA
This is a long non-coding RNA of Cercocebus atys (sooty mangabey), 1892 nucleotides long. RefSeq lists it as uncharacterized. The transcript is spliced from 3 exons. The record is from RefSeq and is a predicted model, not a curated record. NCBI's taxonomy places the organism in Eukaryota, Metazoa, Chordata, Mammalia, Primates, Cercopithecidae.